Long non-coding RNA from Ornithodoros turicata, 359 nucleotides. RefSeq lists it as uncharacterized. The transcript has 3 exons. Lineage: Eukaryota; Metazoa; Arthropoda; Arachnida; Ixodida; Argasidae. The record is from RefSeq and is a predicted model, not a curated record.
GUCGUGUGGAGCGACGUUGUUCCUUCCCAUGCCUUGAAGAACGUCCUUUACGCCACAACACAAAAUGAAGCCGACAACCAGCACCGCCCAGUAUGCUAUUGUGCACUUUGUUGCACGGAACGAAGUAGAGGUUGUCCCGUGUUCAUGGCUUUCUGGCAACAGUUGCAAAUGGCCCAAGUUGCCAACACACAAAGUUGAGAGGCUUAUCAGGAAGGCAUAUCCACCCGGAAACAACUGUGAGGACAUGGAGGUCGUUGUGAAGGGCAUUUUCAAGUGCUACAAGGAUGCCAGAAAGGUUCUGCCUGCCUCUGAGUACACCUCGGACCUUGGAACUGAGCUUCCGGCAAAGAGAGUGCGAC